This 83-nucleotide transfer RNA is filed under the name Oryctolagus cuniculus (rabbit). It matches the Rfam family "tRNA". From Rfam's summary of the family: Transfer RNA (tRNA) molecules are approximately 80 nucleotides in length. Their secondary structure includes four short double-helical elements and three loops (D, anti-codon, and T loops). Lineage: Eukaryota; Metazoa; Chordata; Mammalia; Lagomorpha; Leporidae. The record is from Rfam by way of RNAcentral.
GGCGCUGUGGCACAGUGGGUUAGAGCCCUGGCCUGAAGCGCCAGCAUCCCAUAUGGGCUCUGGUUCAAGUCUCAGCUGCUCCA